CUCGCCCCCGGGGAAACACACGAGAAAAUCCCAGGUAACCGUAUGUGAAACGUGAAUUAGACAGCUGUCAAAGUCCUCUGUAGGAGAAGAUGGAGUACUCAUAUAUGUGGUGCGCGAAAGGGCAUCAGAGAGCUUACGGAAGAGAGGAAAGAGAGGGGUUUGGCAGCCGGGCGAAUGGAUUUGGAUGUAGAAUGGAAGGCAAGGUAAUAGUAGAAGAGAGGCGGACGAGGACGACAAGAUCGGGGCGAGAGAAACGGAGAGCCGAUGGAAAAGGGGACAAAAGGGUAUAGAGGGGGCGAGAGAUAAAACGAUCGAGCAAUUAAGGCGGCUCUUCUUUUGGAAGAUUUUCUCCUCAUCGUGGACUCGCACGAAUGGCGGCGAAUGCUCGAUUUCUCUUCCAGGAUUGGUUUUAAAAUUAAUGCUGUUUCUCCGUUUCGGCUCCUAAUGGCUUCUGGGAGGAGCCCUGCGAGAACCAAUCGCCUCCUGCAGUCAACCUGCCUUGAAGUGAAAGCACGACAUCCACGAAACGAUGUCGGUCAUACGGUGCAAAGAUGCUAAUGACAAUGGAUCCACCGAUGAUUAAUUAGAUAACAAUAAGAGGCAACGUGAUGAUGCAAUAAAGCUAUAUAGAAAUAACGAGGCCAUGCGCAUAAAUUGUGGAGAAAUAUAAGUGCGUCCAUCAAGAUUGUCUUUCCCGAUAAGGAGAUUUCAUUCUCAAUAAGCGUACACUCUAGUUUUAUACUUGACAACUCACUUGCUUUACUGCUUGUAUAUAAUUAUUGCACGGGUAGUAAAAGAAAAGAGAGCAAGUUUGUUAUCCGCUUAUAGUUGGUUACUCUAAUGAGGCAAUCAUCUUCUUUCACCGAGACGAAAUCACCUGUCAGCUAGUCAUCGACGGCAGCUGCGCCAGAUUGAUCCUUGGAAUAUAGUUUCCGAAAUAAGACGAGCGUUAAUACGACGGUUUAAUUAGAACUCCGAUAUUUAAUAUAGAUAUA
Long non-coding RNA from Camponotus floridanus (Florida carpenter ant), 995 nucleotides. RefSeq lists it as uncharacterized. Lineage: Eukaryota; Metazoa; Arthropoda; Insecta; Hymenoptera; Formicidae. The record is from RefSeq and is a predicted model, not a curated record. The transcript is spliced from 3 exons.